UUUAUUGGAGAGUUUGAUCCUGGCUCAGGACGAACGCUGGCGGCGUGCCUAAUACAUGCAAGUCGAGCGGACCUUUCAAAAGCGUGCUUUUGAAAGGUCAGCGGCGGACGGGUGAGUAACACGUGGGCAACCUGCCUGUAAGACUGGGAUAACUUCGGGAAACCGGAGCUAAUACCGGAUAAUAUAAGGAACCUCCUGGUUCUUUAUUGAAAGAUGGUUUCGGCUAUCACUUACAGAUGGGCCCGCGGCGCAUUAGCUAGUUGGUGAGGUAAUGGCUCACCAAGGCGACGAUGCGUAGCCGACCUGAGAGGGUGAUCGGCCACACUGGGACUGAGACACGGCCCAGACUCCUACGGGAGGCAG
This 363-nucleotide ribosomal RNA is filed under the name Sutcliffiella horikoshii. RNAcentral's name for it is "bacterial SSU rRNA". It matches the Rfam family "Bacterial small subunit ribosomal RNA", at positions 1 to 351 of the family's 1533-position model. Lineage: Bacteria; Bacillati; Bacillota; Bacilli; Caryophanales; Bacillaceae. The record is from RNAcentral.